AANACCUWACUACUUGGAUAACCGKGGUAAUUCUAGAGCUAAUACAUGCUAAAAACCCCGACUUCGGAAGGGGUGUAUUUAUUARAUAAAAAACCAAUGCCCUCCGGGGCUCCCUGGKGAUUCAUAAUAACUUAACGAAUCGCAUGGCCUUGCGCCGGCGAUGGUUCAUUCAAAUUUCUGCCCUAUCAACUUUCRAUGGUAUAGUAGKGGUUUACCAUGGUGUCAACGGGUAACGGGAAAUUAGGGUUUGAUUCCGGARAGGGAGCCUGARAAACGGCUACCACAUCCAAGGAAGGCAGCAGGCGCGCAAAUUACCCAAUCCCAACACGGGGAGGUAGKGACAAUAAAUACUGAUGAGGCGCUCUUUAGGGKGUCUUAGUCGGAAUGAAUACAAUUUAAAUCCWUUAAUGAUUAACAAUUGGAGGGCAAGUCUGGKGCCANCAGCCGCGGUAAUUCCAGCUCCAAUAGCGUAUAUUAAAGUUGUUGCAGUUAAAAAGYUCGUAGUUGAACCUUGGGCCUGGCUGACCGGUCCGCCUCACCGCRAGCACUGGUUCGGCCGGGCCUUUCCUUCUGGGGAGCCGCAUGCCCUUCACUGGGUGUGCCGGGRAACCAGGACUUUUACUUUGAAAAAAUUAGAGUGUUCAAAGCAGGCCUAUGCUCGAAUACAUUAGCAUGGAAUAAUAGAAUAGGACGUGUGGUUCUAUUUUGUUGGUUUCUAGGACCGCCGUAAUGAUUAAAUAGGGACGA
RNAcentral lists this ribosomal RNA (747 nucleotides) under Lepra subvelata. RNAcentral's name for it is "Pertusaria subvelata partial 18S small subunit ribosomal RNA". It matches the Rfam family "Eukaryotic small subunit ribosomal RNA", at positions 125 to 893 of the family's 1831-position model. Lineage: Eukaryota; Fungi; Ascomycota; Lecanoromycetes; Pertusariales; Pertusariaceae. The record is from RNAcentral.